RNAcentral lists this long non-coding RNA (886 nucleotides) under Homo sapiens (human). RNAcentral's name for it is "HSALNT0303674". Lineage: Eukaryota; Metazoa; Chordata; Mammalia; Primates; Hominidae. The record is from RNAcentral.
GCGGCUCGUGCCAGAAUGAAGAUGGCUUCCUGUCCCGCUAGCGUCACGUCGGGAUCUGCCUUCACCAAGGCCUUCACUCGCGCCAGAGGCAACCUCGAGAGACGAGCCCCAGGCACACUCGUUGGGGCCUGGGGCUGCGAGGCCGCUGCCUCCCCAGCAGAGCAAUACAAGCAGCUGAGCGUCAGAGAUACAAGCAGCUGAGCGUCAGGGACACAAGAAGCUGGGCAUUGAGGAUACAAGCAGCUGAGCAUCAGGGAUACAAAUGGCUGAGCAGAGAAGCAACUGAGCAUCUAAGACUACAGACAGAUGUGGCUAACUUCAGACAGUGCAGCUUCAGGCAAAGAUCUUCUUCUCGCACCAUCCCCUUUCCAACUCCCCAUUCUGCUGACAGCCACUUCCACUUCCAUCACACAAUAAAAUCCUCUGCAUACGCCAACCUUCAAUUCAUUCGUGUGACGAUUCUUCCUAGACACUGGACAAGAACCCAAAUGCCAAGAGGACAAGGGCUGGGACACUCCUACAGGGCCCUGCACAGAGCCGGCUCCCGCCAGAGAGGAGCAACCGGCCAGUUCCAGCAUUAGUUCACUUUGGUUCCUGCACUCUUCUUGCUCACAUGCUCCCUCUCAUGAGGAGUGGCCAGUGGCAGGCUGAAUGAAAUGUGCUACUCCAGUUCCCUCCCACAAGGUCAAGGAAAAAAUUCCAGCUCAACAGUUUCUGACUGGUUAAGCUUAAGCUUUGUUUUCCUGCAAUAUGGCUGUUCACACUGAGUUAGGUUUCAGUUUGGCCGUAUAGAAACCCGAGACAGUGGAGCCAUCUCAGCCUAAUGGCCUCCCAAUUAUUUAUUUUAACAGGGCAUCAUUUUAUCUAUAUUUGUGCAUGAAUAUAU